RNAcentral lists this long non-coding RNA (3778 nucleotides) under Zea mays. Its description in RNAcentral is "long non-coding RNA NONZMAT001731". The record is from RNAcentral. Lineage: Eukaryota; Viridiplantae; Streptophyta; Magnoliopsida; Poales; Poaceae.
ACAAGCAAUAGACUUUCACUUUACCAAGAGAAGCUUAAUGCAUGUGGUGUGUGCUCUAGGUGGCUCUCACUUGCACUAAUGAGGUCCUGACGUGGAAUUAAGAUUUUCUAGUCACCUCACUAGUCUUUGUUGUGCUUGCAAUGUUGUAGCAAUAUGUGGUCAUCAAUGUGGGCAGCAAGACACUCAAUAAGGUAGGUGGACGGGGUAUAAAUAGCCCCACUCACCAAACUAGUCGUUACCUGGCUGUUCUGCGUAUGGGCGCACCGGACAGUCCGUGUGCCACCGGUGCGCCAACGGUCGUCUCCAACGGCUAGUUCUGACAGCUAGCAGUUGGGCUGAUGGCACAACGGACAGUGAACAGUACCUGUCCGGUGCACACCGGACAGUCCGGUGUGGCGGCUAAAAUUCUUUUUCUCCACUCGUUGCUCUCGGAUUUUCUCGGGGACAGAAUCACUGCCCCCGGGGCUGACUGGCACCACUGUCAGGGGGUGCACCGGACAGUCUGGUGCACAUCGGACAGUCUGGUGCCCCUAAGACAGAAACCCUAACUUCGUUUUUCCUUUUGUUUUUCAAAACCGUUUUUGUUCUAACUCGUGAGUGUGUUAUAGAGUGACACCUAACACUAGAUGUAAGUGUGAAUAUGCACCAACACUACACUAGAAUUCUCUUGGUCAAACUACUCAUCCACAACCUCUCUUUAUAGUACGGCUAAAACAAAAUAGAAGACCUAAUUCUAUACCGAGUGUCUACAACUCCUUCAACACUCGGAAUAUGAAGACUUUCAUCUUUUGAUUCGUCGUUUCAGUUGUCGCUUCAAGUUCUCAUCUCAGGGAUUGUUUUCACCAUUGUAGUACAACUUUCUGUAAUGCGACCUAACUUACCAUUUGCUCUGCAAAACACACGCUAGUCACAUAUAAUAUUACGUUGUCAUUAAUCACUAAAACCAACCAGGGGCCUAGAUGCUUUCAGGCUCCAAGGCAACACCUUAUAUUAUGAGACUAGAAUAAAAAAGUGGUUGCAUCUCAUAUACUUGGACGACGAGAGUUAUUAGAAUUCCGAUAUCCAUGUCUACCUAUUAUUAAACAUUUUAAGUUAUUAUUAGAUUUUUUAGAUAAAGGAAUAAAUAUUCGGCUUCAUCUUUCAACUAAGAAAAUUAGACCAAUUAUCACAAAAUUUUAGAUCAAAAUUCUAAUUUAUUCAACUCAAAACAUAAUUCUAUAUUGUUCAGCAUCCAAAAGAAGUAAUAAAAAAUGUUCGGCAGAGAAGAAGACCCCCAACAGCGGGUAUUUUAGCACACAAUAAACUUGAAUCCAUCUAGAAAUAGCACAAAAAUAUCACAUUAGAAGGAUCGAUAAUCAUUUUACUACUAAAGCACAUAUCAUUCCUAGUUUUCCAAGUGGCCCAAAGUACAACCAGUACAACCCCACAUCCAAACAUCACCAAAUCAUCAUGUUUUUACUAAUUUUCUACCUAGUCCCCAAACAAGGAAUCAGAAUUAUUCACAAGGUUACCUAAUACGCUAUUUGUUAUGAUAAUGGAGUCCUUAAUGUUCCAUCGGGUUCAUGAUAACUUCUGUUUUGGUGGAACGUGGUACUACGACUCUUAUGGUGAUCAACCGUGUCACUAAUCCGGUUGAUCUCGUUAAGAAGGCUAAUCCAUGUCAGUGAAUCGAAAACACAAGAAAGAACUUGAAAGUACACAGCUCAACAAAAAUGCUAACAAUAUAUGUAUGACUAAGAUCACAAAAGUGGGGUUUUAUAACCCUAUAAUGACAAUUAUUCAAAGAUAAUUUUUAAAAGCAAAACUUGAGUCCUAACAUGAGUAGUGGCUACUAAUUAUAUAUCCUAAGGCUAUCACACCCCUUGAACGUGUCCCCUAAUGGGCUCUAAGACAACACAUGCCUAGCCAACCAAAAAAUUGUGACACAACACUAACAUAUUUUGAAUGCUGACUUAUUUCGAUAAUUUCAUUAAUUCCGGUGGAAAUUAGACCUUAGAUCAAAAUUAUUAGUUAGCUUAUGAAAAUAUAUUUCUAUUCAUAUAUUGAUCAUAAAAAAUGGAUUAUGUAUGUCGUGUAUGUCUCGCACAUCUGUUUUACUACAGGAUGGUCCUAAAGGUCCACUCAGACUCAAACUCGAGUUGGACUAAUGCCUUUAAUUGGUCUUGGGCGUUCUUUUUGAUCUUCACCUCCACACCUUCAAUUACUUCAUGACCCUCUCUAAUGUUAUCAAGCACGAUAACAUAAUUAGAUAAUCUAUUCCCAAAAUUAUCGAAAGGAUCACUUACCUUUGAAAAUUUAAUCAUCACAUUUGUGCUCAAGUCAUUGGACCUUAUAUAACGAUCGGAUGAUUAGUAGGCGCAUCUGAAGGUGUGAUGUCCUUAUCAUCCUUCCUCAAUUGAAAUGGAGUCAUUCUUGACUCAAUUCUUCAUCUAAAUAUGGCUUUAAAUCUGCAACGUUAAAGAUGGACUAACCCUAGACAUAGAUUCUUCUUUAGAGGUACUUUUAAUCCUAUUCCCCUACUUUAGCACCACUGCUCAGUUCUACCCCUCUAGUAGUAAUGGAUGAGGCGUUUUUAAUACUAGAGAGGUGCAAAACUGAUCUAUGACGCUAAGCUAGGAGCAUAUAUUUAAAAGUCCCUACCUCUACAAGUGAAUGAUUUCUUGAAAGACUUUGUUAGCAAUGUGAAUGUCAUCGUCGCUUUUAUGAUAGGGAAUAAAAGUUAUCACUUCAGAUAAAUGAUCAACCACCACAAAAAUACUAUCCCCCCUAUUAGUUCUUUGCAAUUCCAAAACAAAGUUCAUAUAUAUAUAUCCACCCAAGAAAUAGAAGAAAUGAACCAACAUAUACAAACCAUAUGGGUUCAACCGCGAUUUAGCUAUUUGACAUGUCGUGUAUCAAGCUACGAACCUCUCUACAUCUUGCCUCAUCCUUGGAUAGAAGAAGUAUGUGACCAACACUUUAUCUUCUUGACAUUAAAAUGUUCCAUCAAUCCACCUCCAUGUGCCUCUUGCAACAACAAAAGACGAACAUAAACAAGUAGAAUGCAUUAUCGGUUAGCUCUAAACAAAAACUCACCAUGCAUCACAAAUUUGUUCUAUAUACAUCUCUUUAUAUAUAUUUUUUGUCACAUCCUUAAGUUCAUUAUUAUUAACAUAUUGUACUUUAAUAUUUUAAGCCUAAUUAUAGAACAAUCAAAUUGGAACAACAUAGUAUAUUAUCUGGACAAAGCAUCAACAAUAAUAUUAUCUUUUUCUUUCUUAUGUUUGAUCACAUAAGAAAAUGAUUCAAUAAAUUCAACCCACAUAGGCAUGUGUACGUUUCAGUUUAUUUUGACUUAGUUAUUAGAGUAAUUAGGAAAUUCUGCAUACAGUUCUUCGCCAUACAUAGAAUAAUUAAGAAUGUCUAUUUAAUUUCUCACUAAAGUAAGCAACGAGCUUACCUUGCAUCAAUACACCACUAAUGCAAACUCCAUUAGCAUCACAUUGAUGCUCAAAAGUCCUACAAAAUUAGGAAGUUGUUGUAAUAAUGUGUUGGUAAGCAUGUUCUUUCAAAGAGCAAAGGACACUUCUUGUUCUUUUGCUCAGUGAAACAUGAUGUCCUUUUUGUCAAUUCAUUUAGCAAGGCUAUAAUAGUGCUUUAAUCCUUCACAAAGUAAUAAUAAAAUCAUAUAAGUCCAUAGAAGCUUCACACUUUUAUCACGGUUGUGGGCGUUGACCGACUCUUUAUAGCACACAUGUUAUCUUCAUCUACUUUACUUCCGUGUGAGGUCACAACAUAG